CCUACGGGCGUCAGCAGUGAGGAAUAUUGGUCAAUGGAUGGAAGUCUGAACCAGCCAUGCCGCGUGCAGGAAGCCGGCUCUAUGAGUUGUAGACUGCUUUUGUACAAGGGUAAACCUGAAUACGUGUAUUCAGCUGACAGUACUGUACGAAUAAGGAUCGGCUAACUCCGUGCCAGCAGCCGCGGUAAUCCGGAGGAUCCAAGCGUUAUCCGGAUUUAUUGGGUUUAAAGGGUGCGUAGGCGGAUUGAUAAGUUAGCGGUGAAAUGUCCGAGCUUAACUCGGGAACUGCCUCUAAUACUGUUGAGCUAGAGAGUAGAUGCGGUAGGCGGAAUGUAUGGGGUAGCGGUGAAAUGCUUAGAGAUCAGACAGAACACCGAUUGCGAAGGCAGCUUACCAAGCUAUAUCUGACGUUGAGGCACGAAAGCGUGGGGAGCAAACAGGAUUAGAUACCCGGGUAGUC
This 460-nucleotide ribosomal RNA is filed under the name uncultured bacterium. RNAcentral's name for it is "partial 16S ribosomal RNA". It matches the Rfam family "Bacterial small subunit ribosomal RNA", at positions 338 to 795 of the family's 1533-position model. The record is from RNAcentral.